ACCUUGGCCAAAUUAUUCAGAAUAAACCAUAUCUCAUCACAUCUCUGAAGCUAAGCAGGGUUUGAGCCUGGACAGUGCUUGGAUGGGCGACCAUCAUGCGUAACGGGUGUUUUAGGAU
RNAcentral lists this ribosomal RNA (118 nucleotides) under Petromyzon marinus (sea lamprey). The record is from RNAcentral. Lineage: Eukaryota; Metazoa; Chordata; Hyperoartia; Petromyzontiformes; Petromyzontidae.